Lactuca sativa (garden lettuce) is the source of this 3358-nucleotide non-coding RNA. The record is from RefSeq and is a predicted model, not a curated record. NCBI's taxonomy places the organism in Eukaryota, Viridiplantae, Streptophyta, Magnoliopsida, Asterales, Asteraceae.
AUAAGACCUGUUCUAGUAGAUGUUGGAGGUUGCUCAAUUUUUUCGAUAUUCACGAUAAAUUCAAGGGUAUCUGGCCAACACCUCCGCCCAUAAAUACGUCGAUUUCUCCAAUCAACUCCGCAGCCUGCCAAUUAUCAACCUCACAAGUUUUCAAAGGUUCGGAUCUCUCGAGUAUUAAACUUAAUCGCCGGUUGAAGAAAACGACGUUCGAUCGGCUGGUUUUGGCGUUUGAUUGAAGCAAAUCGAACGGUUGUUUGAUCUAAUAUCACCAUGAAUCGUUUGUCUUCGCGUACCACUUCAAGGAUUUUCACGAUUGUUUGAAUUAAGAGAUAUAUAGAUCGUCUUCUGCCAUCGUUUACCAGUUCGAGGGUUCUCUUAACUGGAUGUACUUGAAGAUCGACGGAGAUUUUUUUGUUCAAAUCAGAAGAAAAGGAGACGUUUUUAAUUUGGGGUUUUGAUCUGAAGGCAGCUCAAACAUUGAACACAGAAGCUGAUAGUGGUACAAAACCUGUUUCAACUGCAAUGGAUCUGGAACUUGUGAAGUUUAUCAACUCAGAUCUUACAUGGAAUGCUGUUAAAAAGCGCCAUAGGAGCAUGAUGAGGCGCCCAAGGAAGCCAGCAGCAAGCAAUUCAGCCAUUAAAAUGCAGGAAUCUGUAGCUUUUGAUUAUGAAAAGUCUGGUGUAGCCAUUCUUGGUCAACACUUUGGUGAAGAAGUAGUUGAUGUUCCUAUAAAGAAAAGAAUUCUUAUGCUUCAGUCUCCAUCUCUGAGCAAUGAAAAGGCUAGGUCAACUCAACCUCAUUCUCCCUCUCCUCAUCAUGAGAAACAAGAGUGUCAUUCAAUGAAGUCAAAACUGAUAGAGAAAGAGAUUCCUGAUCUGAAUGACUUCUUUGGUAUAGAACUUCUUGCAGCUGCAGCAUGCCAUACCUCUGUUUAUGACACCCCUGCUCCCAUGGAGUCUUCUGCAGUCGAAGAACACACAACAACAAGAGUUGUCGAAUCAUACACCGAUGGUGUAACUGUAAAAGACGAUAUUGCCCCUGUUGACUCAGAUGAUUCAUCAGUUCAAGAUAACACAUUCCCAGUUAUUAUUACAACCGAUAAUGGGAACAGCGAGGGUGAUAAAGCAUCUGUUCCUUCAAAAGAUGUUAGGUUGCAUUGGGAUUUGAACACUGUAAUGGAUGAAUGGGAAGAACCCUGUUGUGAUAUUCUUGUUGACCCUCAUUCUGAAAAAGGGUAUCUAAAAGAUGAUGAUUCUCAACAGGUGAAAUCAGAUGCAAUAGAUAAUAAGUCUGAAGGUAUCCAGGCUGUUUCUGAAGUAGUACAAGGUGGAUCAUGUCAAGAUGAUAAGGUUUCUUCAGAAGAUCGUCUCAGUGAUUGCUGUGGGUCAAACAAAGUCAAAGCAGGAGGAGGCUAUGAUUCUCCUGUUGAAGAUGGUGAGUUAAGAGACACGUGGCAAAAGAAUGAAGUGGAAGAAAUGGAGUGUGUGGACUAUGAAUCAGAUAACAUAUAUGAAGAUAACUUUGAUGCUAUUGAAUCAGUUAACAAUGAAGUCAUUGAAACACUUCCCAACAAUGAAAUCGAACAAGAUGAUAAGAAAAACAUCCCAAGUAUAUCAAACCAGAUUCCGGAACCUUCCCAAUCAGAAGAAAAGGGUAGAACAUCGUCUUUUGGUGUUCAUAGAAGCAGAUCUGAAAACUUUCAAGAUUCUUAUUCAAGGGGUAAGAGGGAUUUUGGUCAAGAAAAGUCAACGGGAAGAGAUGGAGCAUCUUACCAUGGUUGGGAUUCAAGAAACACUCAGAAUCACAGGUACUGUAAUAACAGGCCAAAACAUGUGAUUGGAGGUUACAAUCAAAGAUCCAGUUCUUACAAGACAUUUAACACAAAACCAGAAAGAAAUGAAUCUUAUGGUGUUUAUAGUCGUGAGAGAGUUAAAGGUGGAUUAGGGUUUCAUCAACAAGGUUCAAGAAGAGGUGAAGACUACAAUGGUCAUGAUCAAGAAAGAAAAGUCUCUUCCUUUUCUCCUAGUUUCACCCGUGGGCCCCAUCUUUCAAGAUCUAGAAGACGAUCUAGGUCAAGAUCAAGGUCAGAGUCUCCAAUUGCAUGGAAUUUUCAGAAGAAAAGCAAAGUGGAUACAAAAAGAGAAAGAGAAAGUCCAGAUCAUAUUCAUAUUCAUAGGGCUGAUAAAUACAAUAGCAAUAUCAAUGGUGAAUCUAGAGACAGGAAUAAUCUUGGAAGAAAUGGAAUGAAGUCAAGUGAUCAUUUUUACCCUAAUUUUUCACGUUCUGGAAGGUAUCCACCACAAGGAAGUGGUCAAUAUGAUGAAAAAUACGGAGGGCGUUUUCGGUAUUAUCAUAAAGAUAAUGGGUUCAGAUACACUCGUAAUGAAAAUAGGUACUUCAAAGAUCCAGUUGGAGAUGGAGUCGAAUGAUUGCUUCUGAUUCACAAGGGGAUUAUUAGUUGAUGAACAAAUCGCUGCCACGUCAUCCCUCAUCAUCUUUGGACCACUUACAAGAACUCCAAUUCUAGAUCCUUCACAUUCUGUAGUUUUCUUACUCUUGAAAUCUGGUCUUUCUCCAUAGUUAACAUUAGUAGAAGCUCCGAUUAAAGAUUCAUAAGAAAGACUUUCCAUCUCUCUAUCCUCAUUAUAACACCAAGAACUCAACCCAGGAGACGCCAAUGGCGAGGGUAAAUCCGUCAUUUGAAUCUGCCCCAUUUCUUUCAAAUUCCUUCUCUUGUUCCACAGAAAAGCGAUAGAUACAGUUACAGAUAUAGCUGUGCAUAUAAACACCAUACUACAAACCGACCUUACAGAAUACGAAUAUAUCAUAUUUGUACCCUUAUCGAUCGGGUAUAUAUAAAAUCUUGUGAAAAGCGCGAUAAACACAAGGGAAAUGAUAAAAGAGAACACAAUUAUCAUUCCCAACCAAAUCCAGUUAUUUUGCCCUAAAAUUGGAGAAAUUGGUGCAUCAAGGGGAUUCGAUUUGAACCAUAUUGUUUUGUGAAGGUGUUGUUCUUCAGUUGUGUGCCCUAUUUCUUGUGUUACGUAAGGGCAGAUUUGUAAUUUCAAGCGAGAUAUAUCAAGUGUAGUGGGUGAAACAGGAAGGAUAAGUUGUAGCAUCGCAAGAUCUUCAGAUUUUUUGAAAGAUGGGAUAAGGAGAAUUUGUGGUGUGUUGUUUUCCAUGUGAAGAAGCUCACGAAUUAUGGAGAUAAAUGGAGUGAUCCCACUUCCACCACUAAACAUCACAAGCUUGUCAUACCUGUGUUAAUUUUUAUAAUUUUUUAUUGUUAAAUCAUAAAACUUUUGGAAGUUUCUCGAUUUUGACCAUUUUAUAUAACAAACAAAUAAAUUGGUUUGC